UUCAACUCAGUGGCGGACGGGUGAGUAACGCGUGAGUAACCUGCCUUUCAGAGGGGGAUAACGUUCUGAAAAGAACGCUAAUACCGCAUAAGAUUGUAGCUUCGCAUGGAGCAGCAAUCAAAGGAGCAAUCCGCUGAAAGAUGGACUCGCGUCCGAUUAGAUAGUUGGCGGGGUAACGGCCCACCAAGUCGACGAUCGGUAGCCGGACUGAGAGGUUGAUCGGCCACAUUGGGACUGAGACACGGCCCAGACUCCUACGGGAGGCAGCAGUGAGGGAUAUUGGGCAAUGGGGGAAACCCUGACCCAGCAACGCCGCGUGAGGGAUGACGGUUUUCGGAUUGUAAACCUCUGUCCUCUGUGAAGAUAGUGACGGUAGCAGAGGAGGAAGCUCCGGCUAACUACGUGCCAGCAGCCGCGGUAAUACGUAGGGAGCAAGCGUUGUCCGGAUUUACUGGGUGUAAAGGGUGCGUAGGCGGAUUGGCAAGUCAGAAGUGAAAUCCAUGGGCUUAACCCAUGAACUGCUUUUGAAACUGUUAGUCUUGAGUGAAGUAGAGGUAGGCGGAAUUCCCGGUGUAGCGGUGAAAUGCGU
RNAcentral lists this ribosomal RNA (589 nucleotides) under uncultured Lachnospiraceae bacterium. Its description in RNAcentral is "bacterial SSU rRNA". It matches the Rfam family "Bacterial small subunit ribosomal RNA", at positions 86 to 691 of the family's 1533-position model. Lineage: Bacteria; Bacillati; Bacillota; Clostridia; Lachnospirales; Lachnospiraceae. The record is from RNAcentral.